RNAcentral lists this long non-coding RNA (927 nucleotides) under Phasianus colchicus (ring-necked pheasant). RNAcentral describes it as "lncRNA (ENSPCLG00000003043.1)". The record is from RNAcentral. Lineage: Eukaryota; Metazoa; Chordata; Aves; Galliformes; Phasianidae.
GGCAUGAAUUUUUAAUUAUGUAUUCUGAAUUAUUUCCAAUUAGGGCUAUAUUUCAGGACAGAUGACCUUCCAAUAUUUCCUAUGUAUCUGGAAUACAAACUGCUCAGGCUGGAGGAUGUGGCACAUCUUUGAGGCACUCUUGUUACAGAAAUGAUGCUGUGCAAGUGUUCGAGAUACCAUGGUGGAGCUUUGGCUUGUGCAUUACUCGGGAGGACUUCAGCACAUGAUCCCGUAGCUGACCACUGUGUGACCUUCUGGAGAAGAGCUGCCAUCUGGAGUUGAGUUUCAAUUCGAACAAAAGAGUAUGGUGCAUAAAGGGCACAGAUUCCCCUUGAUCUUUUGGUCCAGAAGAAAGGACCUAACAUCCCUCCAGUACGGUCGAAUGCAUGAGUGUUGCAAGUAUGUGAUAUUCUCAUGCGGGCAAUAAGAGCUGUCAUUCUUCAUUCAGUAUGUGCUAUCAGUAAGGAAUUCUCAUUCUUCUUUUGAACUUUCCAACUGUUUUGUGGGAUGCAUGACUCCCAAGAGAACAAUCAGUCUUUUAAACUCUUUGCUAGCUGAAUUUUUAAAUGGUGCACUUCAGAUGAAGUUCUUACAAACUGGUAAAUAUUUUAAUUUUCUUCAGUAAUUUUCAAUGUCAGUAGAGCUAUGUCUAUUAUACCCAUACAAACCAGUGCAACAUAAUUUGUCUUAAAGUGACAUAAAGAAACUGAACAUGGAAAAGAACUGAAAUAUAGUUAGGAUUUACAAUUUAAAAAUUAAUAUAUAAAUCACUAGUGAUCUUUUCAAGACAGAACAGCUGAAAACUAUUUCCACUACAGGAAGUAGAUAUUGAACAAAUGUGGAUAAAUGUAGAAAUUGUGGAAGAUGUCCAACUUGGAGAAUUGCCAAAACAAUAAAAUUAAUACAUGUUAUAUAAAUUGUGAAAUU